Molecule: non-coding RNA, 98 nt
Filed under: Pteridomonas danica
Lineage: Eukaryota; Dictyochophyceae; Pedinellales
Source: RNAcentral
GAUAAUGCGACUCAGCGCUUGACAUGGCAGGACCCUCUGUUGCGACUGGCGCUAGACGUGGCACGAGGGAUGCACUACUUACACAUGCGCGAGUACUU